UCCCUGGUGUCUCAGUGGUAAAGAAUCUGCCUGCAAUGCAGGAGACCUGGGUUCGAUCCCCGGGCUGGGAA
Molecule: non-coding RNA, 71 nt
Organism: Budorcas taxicolor (takin)
Lineage: Eukaryota; Metazoa; Chordata; Mammalia; Artiodactyla; Bovidae
Source: the annotation of a RefSeq genome assembly